UUUCCUCCCCAUUCUUCUUAGUUUUCAAGAGAGUCUAUGAGAUCUGAGAGAGAACUAGAUCAGCCAUCAAAGAGAAGAUCUUUAUAAGGGAGCUAGCACCCCAGGAAGAUCAUCUCACCUCUAAUUGGAACAAGUUUUUGUGUGGCUAUCUGUGGAGGUCGAACACAUGCGCAGCUAGAGGAAUCGUUCAGAUCUACGAUCAUCGAUUGCGGUGUAGUUCGACCAGCAUAAAGU
RNAcentral lists this long non-coding RNA (234 nucleotides) under Elaeis guineensis (African oil palm). Its description in RNAcentral is "long non-coding RNA (EGUI_LNC054924)". The record is from RNAcentral. Lineage: Eukaryota; Viridiplantae; Streptophyta; Magnoliopsida; Arecales; Arecaceae.